Long non-coding RNA from Thamnophis elegans (Western terrestrial garter snake), 379 nucleotides. RefSeq lists it as uncharacterized. The transcript has 2 exons. The record is from RefSeq and is a predicted model, not a curated record. NCBI's taxonomy places the organism in Eukaryota, Metazoa, Chordata, Lepidosauria, Squamata, Natricidae.
UCCGUUUUCUUUGAUGUGUUGAAAAAGCAGCCUAGCUGAUGGAACAUGAAAAAGAAAGGGGGGUUCCUGUGAUCUGUAUACCUCUAUGUAGGGGUGAACUUCUUUAUGCGUGCAUGCGCGCCACAGGUGCUAAGUAGCCUUUUCUGAGUCUGCAAAGAAGGCUUUAAAGGCUGUUGCAGACUACUGGGUGGUGAUUACACACCGAAAAAAAGAUUUUUGCAUCAGCUGCUGUAUCACCAAAAGUGAAGUCCUACAUUUGAUGUGUAAGAAUCCAACAAAUGUAUCCUCUUUUGGGCACGAAGGAAAGAGAACCAAUGUUUCCUCCGCCAAACUGACUGGGAACGAUGAUAGGAAAGCGCAUAAGGAAUGUUUAAGAAGG